Molecule: ribosomal RNA, 311 nt
Filed under: uncultured eukaryote
Lineage: Eukaryota
Description: partial 18S ribosomal RNA
Rfam family: Eukaryotic small subunit ribosomal RNA
Source: RNAcentral
CCCCUAGACGUUCUGGGCUGCACGCGCGCUACAAUAAUACGCACAGCGAGUAUCACCGAGCUCGAAAGGGCAAGGUAAACAAUAGAAAAGGUACUGUAAUGGUUAUAGAUCCUUGUAAUUAUUGAUCUUCAACGAGGAAUUCCUAGUAAGUAUGUGUCAUCAUCACGCACUGAUUACGUCCCUGCCCUUUGUACACACCGCCCGUCGCUCCUACCGAUUGGGUGAGCCGAUGAAACUCUCGGAUGUAGGCUAUUCAUAGCCCGCAGAAGAGAUUUGAAUCGUAGCGCUUAGAGGAAGGAGAGGUCGUAACA